Triticum dicoccoides is the source of this 504-nucleotide long non-coding RNA. RefSeq lists it as uncharacterized. The record is from RefSeq and is a predicted model, not a curated record. NCBI's taxonomy places the organism in Eukaryota, Viridiplantae, Streptophyta, Magnoliopsida, Poales, Poaceae. The transcript is spliced from 3 exons.
GGAUGAAGGAACAUAGCACAUCGUUGCUGAAUUUGGAGGUUUACUCAUCAACAAGGGAAGGGGAAACAAGCAGUACCAAAGCUGGGACAACUUUGAGAUGCGGGUGCACAAGAGGGUGAUCGACCUUGUCAGCUCCUUGGACGUUCUCAAGCAGAUCACCAUUGAGAGGUUGAGAUGACCAUUAACAACGAGUAACUGUUGUGAAGGUAGUCAAGGACAUGCAGAUGUUGGUGAUGGGCUCUGUUAGGAUGCCCACGUAGGUGCUCAACAUCACCACCGGGAAGUCCCCCUGUGGCGCAAGGUGAGCUGGAAGUGGUGGUGCACCGCCUUGCUUAUGGCGCCAAUGAGAUGGCGGGGUUGUUGCCCCGUGACGUCGGCGUCAGCUCCCACGACUCCAUCACCAGCUACCACUACGUGGGGCACCUGUGCACAAGGAUUCCUGGUUCCAGCUACUCGGGGCACUUGUGAACGUAUUGGAUUACUGGUGCGUUAUACAAACAGCGG